CUGCAGUCGAGCGAAUGGAUUGAGAGCUUGCUCUCAAGAAGUUAGCGGCGGACGGGUGAGUAACACGUGGGUAACCUGCCCAUAAGACUGGGAUAACUCCGGGAAACCGGGGCUAAUACCGGAUAACAUUUUGAACUGCAUGGUUCGAAAUUGAAAGGCGGCUUCGGCUGUCACUUAUGGAUGGACCCGCGUCGCAUUAGCUAGUUGGUGAGGUAACGGCUCACCAAGGCAACGAUGCGUAGCCGACCUGAGAGGGUGAUCGGCCACACUGGGACUGAGACACGGCCCAGACUCCUACGGGAGGCAGCAGUAGGGAAUCUUCCGCAAUGGACGAAAGUCUGACGGAGCAACGCCGCGUGAGUGAUGAAGGCUUUCGGGUCGUAAAACUCUGUUGUUAGGGAAGAACAAGUGCUAGUUGAAUAAGCUGGCACCUUGACGGUACCUAACCAGAAAGCCACGGCUAACUACGUGCCAGCAGCCGCGGUAAUACGUAGGUGGCAAGCGUUAUCCGGAAUUAUUGGGCGUAAAGCGCGCGCAGGUGGUUUCUUAAGUCUGAUGUGAAAGCCCACGGCUCAACCGUGGAGGGUCAUUGGAAACUGGGAGACUUGAGUGCAGAAGAGGAAAGUGGAAUUCCAUGUGUAG
This 642-nucleotide ribosomal RNA is filed under the name Bacillus sp. FJAT-4409. RNAcentral describes it as "bacterial SSU rRNA". It matches the Rfam family "Bacterial small subunit ribosomal RNA", at positions 55 to 678 of the family's 1533-position model. The record is from RNAcentral. Lineage: Bacteria; Bacillati; Bacillota; Bacilli; Caryophanales; Bacillaceae.